Molecule: non-coding RNA, 387 nt
Organism: Chanos chanos (milkfish)
Lineage: Eukaryota; Metazoa; Chordata; Actinopteri; Gonorynchiformes; Chanidae
Source: the annotation of a RefSeq genome assembly
AUGACUUUCAUCACCAUCUUCAUCUGGACACUGUCUCUCUGUUUUCAUGAGUCAAGAGGACAGGUGACCGUGAUUCAGACUCCUGAAGUGAAAUCUUCCCUUGCAGGAGACACAGUCACUAUUAACUGCAAAACGAGUCCUGCAGUGCACCGCCAUAGUGAUGGAGAUGAAGAGCUGCACUGGUACCAACAGAAACCUGGACAGGCUCCUAAACUCCUUCUUUACUGGGCCAAGAAGUUACAGUCAGGAAUUCCAAAUCGUUUCAGUGGCAGUGGAUCUGGAACUGACUUCACUCUGACCAUCAGAGGAGUCCAGACUGAAGAUGCAGGAGAUUAUUACUGUCAGAGUUACCAUGAGAUCAGUGGUAAAUAUCUGUUCACACAGUGA